Molecule: ribosomal RNA, 1246 nt
Filed under: Candidatus Phytoplasma citri
Lineage: Bacteria; Bacillati; Mycoplasmatota; Mollicutes; Acholeplasmatales; Acholeplasmataceae
Description: bacterial SSU rRNA
Rfam family: Bacterial small subunit ribosomal RNA
Source: RNAcentral
GAAACGACUGCUAAGACUGGAUAGGAAGAUAAAAGGCAUCUUUUAUCUUUUAAAAGACCUAGUAAUAGGUAUGCUUUAGGAGGGGCUUGCGCCAUAUUAGUUAGUUGGUAGGGUAAUGGCCUACCAAGACGAUGAUGUCUAGCUGGACUGAGAGGUUGAACAGCCACAUUGGGACUGAGACACGGCCCAAACUCCUACGGGAGGCAGCAGUAGGGAAUUUUCGGCAAUGGAGGAAACUCUGACCGAGCAACGCCGCGUGAAUGACGAAGUACUUCGGUAUGUAAAGUUCUUUUAUCAAGGAAGAAAAGCAAAUGGCGAACCAUUUGUUUGCCGGUACUUGAUGAAUAAGCCCCGGCUAAUUAUGUGCCAGCAGCCGCGGUAAGACAUAAGGGGCAAGUGUUAUCCGGAAUUAUUGGGCGUAAAGGGUGCGUAGGCGGUCUAGUAAGUCAGUGGUGUAAUGGCAACGCUUAACGUUGUCCGGCCAUUGAAACUGCUAAACUUGAGUUAGAUAGAGGCGAGUGGAAUUCCAUGUGUAGCGGUAAAAUGCGUAAAUAUAUGGAGGAACACCAGAGGCGUAGGCGGCUCGCUGGGUCUUAACUGACGCUGAGGCACGAAAGCGUGGGGAGCAAACAGGAUUAGAUACCCUGGUAGUCCACGCCGUAAACGAUGAGUACUAAGUGUCGGGUUAAACCGGUACUGAAGUUAACACAUUAAGUACUCCGCCUGAGUAGUACGUACGCAAGUAUGAAACUUAAAGGAAUUGACGGGACUCCGCACAAGCGGUGGAUCAUGUUGUUUAAUUCGAAGAUACCCGAAAAACCUUACCAGGUCUUGACAUGUUUUUGCAAAAUGAUAGUAAUAUCGUGGAGGUCACCAGAAACACAGGUGGUGCAUGGUUGUCGUCAGCUCGUGUCGUGAGAUGUUAGGUUAAGUCCUAAAACGAGCGAAACCCUUAUCGUUAGUUGCCAGCACGUUAUGGUGGGGACUUUAACGAGACUGCCAAUGAUAAAUUGGAGGAAGGUGAGGAUCACGUCAAAUCAGCAUGCCCCUUAUGACCUGGGCUACAAACGUGAUACAAUGGCUGUUACAAAGGGUAGCUGAAACGCAAGUUCUUGGCCAAUCCCCAAAAACAGUCCCAAUCCGGAUUGAAGUCUGCAACUCGACUUCAUGAAGUUGGAAUCGCUAGUAAUCGCGAAUCAGCAUGGCGCGGUGAAUACGUUCUCGGGGUUUGUACACACCCCCGUCA